Molecule: long non-coding RNA, 3945 nt
Filed under: Olea europaea (common olive)
Lineage: Eukaryota; Viridiplantae; Streptophyta; Magnoliopsida; Lamiales; Oleaceae
Description: long non-coding RNA (OEUR_LNC001246)
Source: RNAcentral
ACAUGCUGAAAAAUGGAAAGCUGUUUGUUAGUGAAUGCAUGAUUUUGGAGGAGAUAUGGUUGUUUUCCUGACAAUUGCUGGAUAAAUUUAUCUUUUAUUAUUAUUUGUUAUAAAUAUUUCUGUCCUGGAAAUUUUUAAUUCUAAAAAAAUGCGAAAUUUACUAAGAUAUCAAGGUUCCAAAUUCUAUGAACUUGAUGGGUGGAAGAUAAAUAAUUAGACAGGGUAUACAAGAGUAUAUCAGAUAAUUCCUCCCUAUCAUUAAGAUUUCACAAAAGAUUGUGAGUACUGAGACAGAGAUAGAACAUCAGUUUGUGUAAAAAAAUGAGUUAUAUGCAUUAAGGAAAGAAGAUACAUAAAUCUAAUGGAAAAUGGAGAUCUCCCUGCAAACAUAUUCCUUGAUCUUAUGCACAUUUACUUCAUGUAUUGUGGCGUUGGUCAUAGCUUCAGCUUUACAAUAAUAAACAGUCAACUCUUAUUCUCAAGCUUCAUUUUUGACUUUUUCUGAUACAGGUCUUUAACAACAGCCCAGAUGAGACAGCAUAUUUUCGAAUGAUUCUUAACAGAGAAAAUGUUGCUAAUUCAGUUGUAAUGAUUCAACCCUCAUUGAUCUCUUAUUCUUUUCAUUCUGGACCAGAACCUGUUCUUCUCGAUGUGGCUUCCAUUGCUGCUGAUAGAAUCCUUCUUUUAGAUUCAUAUUUCAUCAUUGUCAUAUUUCAUGGAUCAACUAUUGCUCAAUGGCGAAAAGCUGGAUAUCAUGAACAGCCUGAACAUCAGGUAACUAGAUGUAAAAAGUAACGGCACAUGCAUAACCUUAUCCUCAUGACACUUUUGAAGGAUAAUUCAUUAGCAUUCAACAGUAAAACCAACACAAAAUAAUCAGACGACAGGAAGAGGUGCCUGGUAUCAAGCAUUAAUUUGUAAAGGUUGAUGUUGUAAAGGUUUGAAUGAAAGAAUGGGUAAUCUUUUAUCAGAAAAAAAUAAGUAAAAAUAAAAAUGGAAGGGUAGCAAUCACUUCCUAAAUUCCAUAUGAACUUUGUUGAUUUUUAUUAUUGCGACUGGUAGACUUUUUUGUGAGAAAUAGUCAAAUAGAACCUUAAAACUCAUCACAGUUUAUGAAGCCUUGGUUUUUGUGAUGUAAAUGGUUGCAAUCUCUUGGGGGAUAUUGCUCUCUCAUUCAAAAUAAAUAAAGGUAAGAAAGGUGCAAUACUAAAGUCUUGCAGCCUUAACCAUGUAAUGCAAAUGAUCCUAUUAAAAAUGUUCCCUUAAUUUUUUCCUUGAUUUUCAAAAAUAUCAAGAUUGCAAGAUAUUAUAACUUUUACUGUUAAUCAAGGAAAAUUUUAUUCUGUAGAUUACUAAUUUUUAUUUGAGCUCUCAAUUUUUAGGACGACUUAGGUCCUACUUUUAACUAUAGAACCAUAUUCUAAACUAGAGUCUAAAUCAGAAAAAUACACUCAAAUACGCUAAGUAAAUUAUUGUUGAAAAUUGUGCAAACAAGUGGAAAAGAAGCAUACUAAUGAAAUAUCGUUUAAUUUCAUUUUCUGAUCAUAUAUUAUGAUUUUUGAAUUUUGUAAGCUAUCUUUAUAUUUCAUGGCCUCUUCACCUUGGUAUUUGACAUUUGCAAGUUUUUUACUAUCCAAGUUUGAUAUUCCUUGCAGGCUGAAUUUGACCCCAUUAGAUGGUUGGAUAAAUCAUUGAUUCAUUUAUGUUCUCGGUUUGGGGAGUACCAGAAGGAUGCCCCAUCUUCUUUCACCUUAUCUCCUAGAUUUUCAAUAUUUCCUCAAUUCAUGUUUAAUUUACGACGUUCACAAUUUGUCCAGGUACAUGGUAUCUUAUUUAUAUGUAUUAAUUGUUCCUUGUACACAUUUUCAUGUGGCAGAAGAGAGAAUUUUGUUAGAGAGAAAUAAAGUAUGAAAAAGGAGGACAUGAUAUCCUCAACUGCCAAAACUGAAAAAUAAAAAUGCAUUUAGUAUUGAUUAACCAUAAUAGCGACCCAGCUCGUUUGUUAAUCUAUCAAAGUUUUCCCAGUGGUGCAGAGAGAUGAAAAGAAAAAUCCACUGUCCCUAUAAAGGCAACAGAAAAGUAGGUUGUUUGUGUUAAGACUUGGAUUUUCAUUUUAAAAAGUCAACAUUAUUAAGAUGAAUAACCCAAAUCUUUAUAUGUUGGUCUAUAUUUCAGUAUUUAAUCGAUGUGGAAUUUAUAUCUUAACAUACCCCUGCAAAAUGGUGGUCAAUUAAGCAGAUCAAUUUUGAAAUUCGCUUGCUCAUUUUUGAGUCUUGAUCAGAUUGAAUUGCUUAUUGGAACUUAAUGGGUUCUGAUACAAUAUUAAGACAUAGUUUCAUCUAAAAAAGUCAAUCUUAUUAGGAAAAAUACACCAAGCCUGCAUAUGUUGGUUUAUAUUUCGGUAUUCAAUCGAUCUGGGUUUAUCCCUUAACAAUGCAUGAUAGUGUGUAUGAAAGUACUGUCAUGCAAAAUAAUAAUAAUAAUAAUAAUAAUAAUAAUAAUAAUAAUAAUAAUAAUAAUAAUAAUAAAAAAUAAAGCCCUAACUUCCCAGUAAAUCAGUAAAUGUGUUUGAAGCCCUGAACAAUGGAAUUUGGCACAAAUUAUAAGAGUUCAGAGGUUUCAUGCCUGACUUUUGCUCAUUCACCUGUUUUUGCUUGGAAAAUGGGGUCAUUCGCCAAAAGCUGACUCUGUUGACCGAGAAUGAGCUGCUGUCUGAGACUGCUCAUCACUCAACCCAAUUCUAUUGAGUGGGACUGGGCUAUUGUUCAAGACUGGGCUAGAAUUAGUCCUAAAGGUCAUGUUAUUAAACUGCAUUUGGGCUGCAAUAUAAUGUCCAAAUGCUUCAAGUACUGCCACUAGAGAACACCAAAUAUGCUUCUCCUGUACCUUCCUUAACCUGUAAAGUGUAUUAGAAACAUGUCCUUUGAAGAACAAAGAAUUACACCUACCAUAUUUGUAUUUUCAAAGUCUAUUCCACGAUUCCAUUCCCUUGCAUAAUCUCUUUGCUUAAAAUGAUGAUUAUACAUCUUAUUAGUCUUCCACAUCACAUGCUGAAAAAUGGAAAGCUGUUUGUUAGUGAAUGCAUGAUUUUGGAGGAGAUAUGGUUGUUUUCCUGACAAUUGCUGGAUAAAUUUAUCUUUUAUUAUUAUUUGUUAUAAAUAUUUCUGUCCUGGAAAUUUUUAAUUCUAAAAAAAUGCGAAAUUUACUAAGAUAUCAAGGUUCCAAAUUCUAUGAACUUGAUGGGUGGAAGAUAAAUAAUUAGACAGGGUAUACAAGAGUAUAUCAGAUAAUUCCUCCCUAUCAUUAAGAUUUCACAAAAGAUUGUGAGUACUGAGAUAGAGAUAGAACAUCAGUUUGUGUAAAAAAAUGAGUUAUAUGCAUUAAGGAAAGAAGAUACAUAAAUCUAAUGGAAAAUGGAGAUCUCCCUGCAAACAUAUUCCUUGAUCUUAUGCACAUUUACUUCAUGUAUUGUGGCGUUGGUCAUAGCUUCAGCUUUACAAUAAUAAACAGUCAACUCUUAUUCUCAAGCUUCAUUUUUUACUUUUUCUGAUACAGGUCUUUAACAACAGCCCAGAUGAGACAGCAUAUUUUCGAAUGAUUCUUAACAGAGAAAAUGUUGCUAAUUCAGUUGUAAUGAUUCAACCCUCAUUGAUCUCUUAUUCUUUUCAUUCUGGACCAGAACCUGUUCUUCUCGAUGUGGCUUCCAUUGCUGCUGAUAGAAUCCUUCUUUUAGAUUCAUAUUUCAUCAUUGUCAUAUUUCAUGGAUCAACUAUUGCUCAAUGGCGAAAAGCUGGAUAUCAUGAACAGCCUGAACAUCAGGUAACUAGAUGUAAAAAGUAAUGGCACAUGCAUAACCUUAUCCUCAUGACACUUUUGAAGGAUAAUUCAUUAGCAUUCAACAGUAAAACCAACACAAAAUAAUCAGACGACAGGAAGAGGUGCCUG